UCAUUUUCUUUUGCGAGUUCA
This 21-nucleotide non-coding RNA is filed under the name Caenorhabditis elegans. Lineage: Eukaryota; Metazoa; Nematoda; Chromadorea; Rhabditida; Rhabditidae. The record is from RNAcentral.